GAUGAACGCUAGCGGCAGGCCUAAUACAUGCAAGCCGAACGGCAAGUUUGAUAGCAAUAUUGGACCUAGAGUGGCGCAAGGGUGCGUAACACGUAUGCAACCUGCCCGCGACAGGAGGAUAGCUCCCCGAAAGGGGAAUUAACCCUCCAUAACACCAUGAGAAGGCAUCUGAUUAUGGUUAAACCGCAAGGGGUCGCGGAUGGGCAUGCGGUUGAUUAGCUAGUUGGCGGGGUAAAGGCCCACCAAGGCGGUGAUCAAUAGGGGUUCAGAGAGGAAGGUCCCGCACACUGGCACUGGGAUACGGGCCAGACUCCUACGGGAGGCAGCAGUCGGGAAUAUUGGACAAUGGUUGCAAGACUGAUCCAGCCAUGCCGCGUGCAGGAAGAAGGCCUUCUGGGUCGUAAACUGCUUUUGCCUGUGGAUAAAAUACCCGUGCGCGGGGAAUUGAAGGUAACAGGAGAAUAAGCCACGGCUAACUACGUG
RNAcentral lists this ribosomal RNA (483 nucleotides) under uncultured bacterium. RNAcentral's name for it is "partial 16S ribosomal RNA". It matches the Rfam family "Bacterial small subunit ribosomal RNA", at positions 28 to 507 of the family's 1533-position model. The record is from RNAcentral.